UGAGCAGGAAGCAGAGGACCGUUUUGAAUUCAGCAGAUUUUGAAUAAUGCCAGAUCAGGAGUGGAUCUCCUGGGAUAAGAUGCAAUGGUCCCACACACUUGUAUGUCACUAGAGUCUACUCUCUGGGAAACAGCAAUUUGACAGAACAUGUCAAGAGCUUGUGAAAACAAGUAAUUCACAUUCGACCUGAUACCCAGAAAGAAACUGGGGUUCAUUCACCUGGUGAAUCUCAAACGGCUCUCCACGAGAACGCAGGUUUGGAUCAGUAGGAGUUUUAUGACUUGUCACAGUGCUCGGAGGGACUAUCUGGAAUUUCCUUAUCUGACCUAGAAAGCGUCUUGCCGAAAGAAACACAUUUGCCUUCUAGCCCUCUGUUACCCCAUUAUCCACUGCAGAAAAGAAGCUGGAAGAAAAGAAGUCAGACGUCCAACCACACCUGGAUGGACUUUUCCACAAGAUAAGAUGCAGAAGACACGUUUGGAGCCAUCUGUGCCUCUGAAACAGACCCCCAUACAAAAGUGCUGUCUUGGCCCUACGAGACGGCUCAUGCGGGGCUGGGAGGCACCUGGGAAGUGAGGCCCACAAACAUGUCAGAGAUCUCGGCCUCAGGGGGAAGCUCUGGCUGUGCGUACUGACACAAGGCAAUGCACGGGAGAUCUGCAGCCCGGACAGGAGCCGGAGCACCUGGGAAGGACAUGAGGCAAAUGCUCAAGAACGUGAGAGCAGCACGCCCCAGCUGUGGGAGGGGCACCCUUUGAGCACUGAACACAGGAAGGCCAUGGUACAGUGCCAGGCUCAUGGCAAGUACUUUAUUCUCUUCCAAACUCCAACCAUGAAUCCACCCAGGUGUAAACCUUCCACAGUGAAUCAGUUGUGCCUACAGAAGCUCUGUAGACAAGUGCUGCUCAAAAUGUCACCUGCAGACCUGUGCUGCUCUGCAAACUCUUGGUUAGAUGUCCAUGAAGAGGAAUAAGAAGCUCGCACCGGGAUGUACAUUACUGUCACUCAGCAGGCUAUUUAGUCCUGCUGACUUUUUCCAUAGCAAGACUUUCUCAAUAAAGGAAGCAGGGCACUGAUUUACUCUCUGGGGCGAAAGCUGCUUAACUCCUGGUAAAAAAGUUUGUGGCCCAGCUACUUUCAGGCUGCUUCUGGGGACACUAACCUGAGGUGUCCAAGCAUCUCUGAGUGGUACCCAGGGAAAAUUAUGAAGGCAUUAGGCAAAAGCUAGUAGUUUAAAAAAUCAUAAUGCUAUAAUAACAAAAAAAUGAGAGGUUACCUCAAUACAAAAAGAGAAAAUUGGUUAAAUAAGUUAUAUACAUCCUCUUAAUGUAGUUGACAGCACUUAUAAGAGGUUGGGGACUUUAUAACGGGAUGAGAAAAGUCUUAGGAUAUGACAGGAAGUUACAACAGAAGCAUGAUAUAAAAUGGUGUCAGCAGCCCCCUGUGUAACAUGUAGAGAAGAUAUAUGUGCUCACAUUUACAUACUCGGAAGGAAAUGCAUGAAAAUACAAAUAGGGGAUUUGUUAGAGUGAUGU
This is a long non-coding RNA of Rhinopithecus roxellana (golden snub-nosed monkey), 1535 nucleotides long. RefSeq lists it as uncharacterized. The record is from RefSeq and is a predicted model, not a curated record. The transcript has 4 exons. Lineage: Eukaryota; Metazoa; Chordata; Mammalia; Primates; Cercopithecidae.